Molecule: ribosomal RNA, 253 nt
Filed under: uncultured bacterium
Lineage: Bacteria
Description: partial 16S ribosomal RNA
Rfam family: Bacterial small subunit ribosomal RNA
Source: RNAcentral
UACGUAGGCAGCAAGCGUUGUUCGGAUUUACUGGGCGUAAAGGGUGCGUAGGCGGCUUUUUAAGUCUGGUGUGAAAUCUCCCGGCUCAACUGGGAGGGUGCGCCGGAUACUGAGGGGCUAGAGUGUGGGAGAGGAAAGUGGAAUUCCUGGUGUAGCGGUGAAAUGCGUAGAUAUCAGGAGGAACACCGGUGGUGUAAACGGCUUUCUGGACCAUAACUGACGCUGAGGCCCGAAAGCGUGGGUAGCAAACAGG